This 253-nucleotide ribosomal RNA is filed under the name uncultured bacterium. RNAcentral's name for it is "partial 16S ribosomal RNA". It matches the Rfam family "Bacterial small subunit ribosomal RNA", at positions 524 to 776 of the family's 1533-position model. The record is from RNAcentral.
UACAGAGGUGGCAAGCGUUGUUCGGAAUUACUGGGCGUAAAGGGCGCGUAGGCGGCCUUCUAAGUCAGACGUGAAAUCCCCCGGCUUAACCUGGGAACUGCGUCUGAUACUGGAGGGCUUGAGUGCGGGAGAGGGAUGUGGAAUUCCAGGUGUAGCGGUGAAAUGCGUAGAUAUCUGGAGGAACACCGGUGGCGAAGGCGGCAUCCUGGACCGACACUGACGCUGAGACGCGAAAGCGUGGGGAGCAAACAGG